ACUGAGCGGCGCCGGGUGAGUAACGCGUGGGUAACCUCCCUCAUACAGGGGGAUAACAGUUAGAAAUGGCUGUAAUACCGCAUAAGCGCACAGCAUCGCAUGAUGCCCGUGUGAAAAACUCCGGUGGUAUGAGAUGGACCCCGCGUCUGAUUUAGGUAGUUGGCGGGGUAACGGCCCACCAAGCCGACGAUCAGUAGCCGACCUGAGAGGGUGACCGGCCACAUUGGGACUGAGACACGGCCCAAACUCCUACGGGAGGCAGCAGUGGGGAAUAUUGCGCAAUGGGGGCAACCCUGACGCAGCAACGCCGCGUGAACGAUGAAGGUCUUCGGAUUGUAAAGUUCUUUUAUUAAGGACGAAGAAGUGACGGUACUUAAUGAAUAAGCUCCGGCUAACUACGUGCCAGCAGCCGCGGUAAUACGUAGGGAGCAAGCGUUGUCCGGAUUUACUGGGUGUAAAGGGUGCGUAGGCGGCAGAGCAAGUCAGAUGUGAAAUCCACGGGCUUAACUCGUGAACUGCAUUUGAAACUACUUUUCUUGAGUAUCGGAGAGGCAAUCGGAAUUCCUAGUGUAGCGGUGAAAUGCGUAGAUAUUAGGAGGAACACCAGUGGCGAAGGCGGAUUGCUGGACGACAACUGACGGUGAGGCGCGAAAGCGUGGGGAGCAAACAGGAUUA
This 675-nucleotide ribosomal RNA is filed under the name uncultured bacterium. RNAcentral describes it as "bacterial SSU rRNA". It matches the Rfam family "Bacterial small subunit ribosomal RNA", at positions 90 to 780 of the family's 1533-position model. The record is from RNAcentral.